ACGCUGGCGGCGUGCUUUAACACAUGCAAGUCGAACGGAACUCUUUGGAUCGAGACUUCGGUCAAGUGAAUUUGAGUUUAGUGGCGGACGGGUGAGUAACGCGUGGGUAACCUGCCUCAUACAGGGGGAUAACAGUUAGAAAUGACUGCUAAUACCGCAUAAGCGCACAGGACCGCAUGGUCUGGUGUGAAAAACUCCGGUGGUAUGAGAUGGACCCGCGUCUGAUUAGCUAGUUGGUGGGGUAACGGCCUACCAAGGCGACGAUCAGUAGCCGGCCUGAGAGGGUGAACGGCCACAUUGGGACUGAGACACGGCCCAAACUCCUACGGGAGGCAGCAGUGGGGAAUAUUGCACAAUGGGGGAAACCCUGAUGCAGCGACGCCGCGUGAGUGAAGAAGUAUUUCGGUAUGUAAAGCUCUAUCAGCAGGGAAGAAAAUGACGGUACCUGACUAAGAAGCACCGGCUAAAUACGUG
RNAcentral lists this ribosomal RNA (474 nucleotides) under uncultured bacterium. Its description in RNAcentral is "bacterial SSU rRNA". It matches the Rfam family "Bacterial small subunit ribosomal RNA", at positions 33 to 507 of the family's 1533-position model. The record is from RNAcentral.